RNAcentral lists this ribosomal RNA (395 nucleotides) under uncultured bacterium. RNAcentral describes it as "bacterial SSU rRNA". It matches the Rfam family "Bacterial small subunit ribosomal RNA", at positions 29 to 419 of the family's 1533-position model. The record is from RNAcentral.
AACGAACGUUGGCGGCGUGGAUUAGGCAUGCAAGUCGAACGAAUCCCAUCUGGGUAACUGGGUGGGGGAAGUGGCGAAAGGGGCAGUAAGGCAUAGGUAACCUACCUCGGGGACGGGGAUAGCCUUCCUAACGGAUGGGUAAUACCCGGCGAUCUGGCGAGGGGACAUCCUCUUACCAGGAAAGGAGUUUCGCCUCGAGAGGGGCUUAUGUAGUAUUAGCUUGUUGGCGGGGUAACGGCCCACCAAGGCCAAGAUGCUUAGCAGGUGUGAGAGCACGACCUGCGCCACUGGCACUGAGACACUGGCCAGACUCCUACGGGAGGCUGCAGUCGAGGAUCUUCGGCAAUGGGCGCAAGCCUGACCGAGCGACGCCGCGUGUGCGAUUGAAGGCCUUC